UGUUCUUUGAACCAAUUGUAGUCAUGGUGU
This 30-nucleotide non-coding RNA is filed under the name Rattus norvegicus (Norway rat). Lineage: Eukaryota; Metazoa; Chordata; Mammalia; Rodentia; Muridae. The record is from RNAcentral.